GGUGCUCCAGCCGGGAUUUUGAACCCGGGAUCACUGCCUUGAAAGGGCAGUAUGCUUGACCGGUCUACACCACUGGAACC
RNAcentral lists this transfer RNA (80 nucleotides) under Nitrosarchaeum koreense MY1. RNAcentral's name for it is "tRNA-Glu". Lineage: Archaea; Thermoproteati; Nitrososphaerota; Nitrososphaeria; Nitrosopumilales; Nitrosopumilaceae. The record is from RNAcentral.